AGGCGGGAGAAAACCGGUUCACCGGAGUCCCGGUCUGAGGUGCAUUAAAUAGUCUAGGAUAACAUGGAUGGGGACUGCCUGAGGAUCCAUACGUCACUAAGAACAACAAGAAGUAAAUUGUGUCCACUUUGCAAGGAACAACAGCUGACUUCAGGAAAGAGGCCCUUCUUAUCACCACAACAGUGGGGGUGGUUCGAGCUGCACUGUUGGCGACAUCCAUAGCUAUUUGUAGGCUUGCUCGUGUGGAUGCGUAACCUUCCUGGACAAUGGAUUUGAGAAGUGGCCUUUUGGACUCUGGAAACGCUUCCAUUAAUGGAGUCAAUUUAGGAUAAUUGUCAAAAUUAUGGUUGGAUAAGUGAGCAAGGUAAUUCACUAUUCUUAGUAGUAAAGUCAAGGAAGUGUAUAGCUUCCUACUGAAUAAAUCCCAUCUUUUCACCUCUUUGUCUGAUGGAUUGGUUUUAAAUUAAGGCGCCUUUGCCCUCUGAUGGGCUGCCAGAACUACAAGGAAGUUGGGCUGUGGGUGAGAAAACAAGAACUCUGAGCCCUUAGGGGUGACAAAGUACUUUUUAUUGGAGCACUUGUUGGUUGGGAGGGCCGAAGCAGGUGUCUGCCACAACUCGUUGGCCACCUCUAAUAUCGCCUCAUCCAGAGGUAUAGCUAGUUUGGCACUCUGGGUUGUUUGUAAAUUCUUUAGCAGGCGAUGCUGUUUUUCUUUAAUCUCUUGUAACUGUAUUUGCUGUGAGGCCGCAACUCUUUAAAAAAAGGUCUUGAAACUGCCUCACAUCAUAUGGUGGAGAAACAUCACCUGCCUCAUCUGGUGUAACUGCCUCAUCUGGUGAGAAGGAAUGAUCCAUUGGGGAUACCUCUGGUGGCUGUGCAUCCUCUGUAUUCGGUUGUAUCUCA
Molecule: non-coding RNA, 903 nt
Organism: Pelodiscus sinensis (Chinese soft-shelled turtle)
Lineage: Eukaryota; Metazoa; Chordata; Testudines; Trionychidae
Source: RefSeq, a predicted model, not a curated record